GACGAACGCUGGCGGCGUGCUUAACACAUGCAAGUCGAACGAAGUGGCGAACGGGUGAGUAACGCGUAAUCAACCUGCCCUUCAGAGGGGGACAACAGUUGGAAACGACUGCUAAUACCGCAUACUGAAGGAGGGGAUUGCGUCUGAUUAGCUCGUUGGAGGGGGAACGGCCCACCAAGGCGAUGGUCAGUAGCCGGUCUUGGGGGAUUGACGGCAACCUUGGGAAUGGGGCACAGCUCAGACUCCUACGGGAGGCAGCAGUGGGGAAUCUUCCGCAAUGGACGAAAGUCUGGCGGAGCAACGCCGCGUGAGUGAUGACGGCCUUCGGGUUUUAAAGCUCUGUUAAUCGGGACGCGGUACCGGAAUAGAAAGCCACGGCUAACUACGUGCCAGCAGCCGCGGUAAUUC
This 408-nucleotide ribosomal RNA is filed under the name uncultured bacterium. RNAcentral's name for it is "partial 16S ribosomal RNA". It matches the Rfam family "Bacterial small subunit ribosomal RNA", at positions 28 to 526 of the family's 1533-position model. The record is from RNAcentral.